This 860-nucleotide long non-coding RNA is filed under the name Sus scrofa (pig). Its description in RNAcentral is "lncRNA (ENSSSCG00050077362.1)". Lineage: Eukaryota; Metazoa; Chordata; Mammalia; Artiodactyla; Suidae. The record is from RNAcentral.
AUGGCAGUGCUCUCUGGCAGACUUCAUUUGCAGAAAUUAUACCUGUUAUAUAUGUGUCAUAAGUCAAGUCUGGGAAAUGAGGGCUGGCAAGUGCACCUCCAGAGAUGUCAGCGUGAUCACUGUCGUUUGAGGCGUCUGCAAGGGAUGUGUGAUGGUGUGAUGAGAAUGAAAUCAAGGUAUUACAGUUAUUCUUUGCAGGGAGGAGCAGGGAGGGAAAAAAAAGCCAUCUUGUCCGCACCUGGAGUCUCCUCAUUUACUGUUACUGUAUUGGCUGGGUAUGAGUACCUCAAGCCCUACACACCCGACUGAGAACUUCCGUUUCUGUAACCCUUUUUACUGGAAAAUAGGAAAAUCUUCCCAGUCCCUUUUCAUCCCCGAACCAGCCCUUUACCCAGCCUGGACCAGCUUGUUGUCUAGGCUUCCCUGGGAAGAUCUGUGCUUUGGCUUGAUUCUCCCUCUACUGCAGGAAGAGACUGAGCUUGCCCAGGGGCCGGCUUGGGGGGAAGCCGCCCUCACCGCUUGCCUGCGCUUCUCUGCCCAGUGUGGCAAAGGCGCCCAUGGCUAGGGCCAAAACCAGUGGUAAUCGAGACAAGGUCACCGAGGCUACCUCGUCCACCCCUGAGUCUUAUCCCAGCCUCCAGUGCUGCGAAGAAUGUGGCUUGUCUGCCGACUUUGAUCCUCCACUGUGCUUCUGUGACAUGAACAAGGGAACCCUGAAUACAAAGUGAUUAGUAGAAGGUAGUUGUAAACACUGACUGCUACGUACAACCAGCUGCAGAAAUAAGGACUCUGUCAUGAAUAUUUCCUCCUCAUCUGUUAUGAAUACGCUGUGUUUGUGUUUACAUAUAUUAAGCAAAUAU